This is a long non-coding RNA of Triticum dicoccoides, 1111 nucleotides long. RefSeq lists it as uncharacterized. The transcript has 2 exons. NCBI's taxonomy places the organism in Eukaryota, Viridiplantae, Streptophyta, Magnoliopsida, Poales, Poaceae. The record is from RefSeq and is a predicted model, not a curated record.
GCCCAUCUCUCUCCAGCCUUCCUGCCCGCAUGCAGCCCUCGCCCUCGGCACCGCACGGGCCAGGCCCUCUCUCCUCGGUUAUGGCCACCAUGGAGAACCUGACCCGUAGGGCAUACCCUCCUCCUCUGAUGCGUAACACCCAUCCCUGCCCCGGCGGCUGGGAUCAUGUCCGCCAUCAUGAGCAGGUGCUCCGCAUCCGAGUGCACCGACUCAGAGGUAGAGGUUGGGCUGUAGUUCUUGGACGCCAAGGAAGAACGCAAGUUGUUGCCGCCGCCGAAGAUGAAAACUGGUGGUAACUGGUGAUGGAACUCUAUCCUACGCGCAUAGCAGUGAUGGAACAUAGCGUACUUUCACCCUUUUUUCCAGAUCGAGAUGGUGGAGGCAGCCAGUGUCGUGGCCGAGCGCUGGGGAGCUUGUCGGUGUUUUGAUGGAGAAGGUCGGCCGCCUCCUCUCCCCACCAAGUCUCUUUGGCCCAUAGAUCGAGUUCAUGGUUGAUAAGGAAGGUGUGGUCGAUUUCACCAGGCUGGGUCCGAAGGUCCCGAAGUCCUAUGGCAUGAACUGGCCACGGCGCAUCCGGCUGGAUGCACUUGCUCAACACCUUUCCAUCUCUGUACAAUCAGGUAGAUAUUUUCUCACGUGCCAAAUAUUAUUUUUAGGUUGCCAAAUAGUAGUCUAGGAACUAUAGAAAGUGGAUUGCUGAGUUUGCCAAGCAUAAUAGCACACCUAUUAUCAGAUGACCUGAAGAGUAUAUCAAGCAAAGAUGCUUUCAGAUUUAUGCAUGCCUAUAUUAGGUUCCUACUUGUGUGAAGAUAACACUUUGCAUCAGGCUUGUGAGCAACCGUAAGUUGUUUUGCAUGUGAUACUACUUGUGUGAUUAUUUUUACCUUCGGAAAAUUUCCUUCUUAUUAUAUAUCAUAUGGAAUUCUUCAACCAGAGGAGAGCAACUCAAUGAGUUUGCAUACAUUCAGCCAUCUAUGUUGAUGCAACUCAACUAACAAAGAGUAUUUAAGAAAAGACUGCAGUUUGUAAAGCCAGUGGACAAAUUAGUUCUGCACAGUCCGGCAUUAGCGGCGUGCAUGCAGUAAUUCAUCAAUGUUGGGGGUCAGUGCUA